AUGAAGACCUUUCUCAUCCUUGCCCUCCUUGCUAUUGUAGCAACCACCGCCACAAUUGCAGUUAGAGUUCCAGUGCCACAAUUGCAGCCACAAAAUCCAUCUCAGCAACAACCACAAGAGCAAGUUCCAUUGGUACAACAACAACAAUUUCCAGGGCAGCAACAACCAUUUCCACCACAACAGCCAUAUCCGCAGCCGCAACCAUUUCCAUCACAACAACCAUAUCUGCAGCUGCAACCAUUUCCGCAGCCGCAACUACCAUAUCCGCAGCCGCAACUACCAUAUCCGCAGCCGCAACUACCAUAUCCGCAGCCGCAACCAUUUCGACCACAACAACCAUAUCCACAAUCGCAACCACAGUAUUCGCAACCACAACAACCAAUUUCGCAGCAGCAGCAGCAGCAACAACAACAACAACAACAAAAACAACAACAACAACAACAACAACAGAUCCUUCAACAAAUUUUGCAACAACAACUGAUUCCAUGCAGGGAUGUUGUAUUGCAACAACACAGCAUAGCGUAUGGAAGCUCACAAGUUUUGCAACAAAGUACUUACCAGCUGGUGCAACAAUUGUGUUGUCAGCAGCUGUGGCAGAUCCCCGAGCAGUCGCGGUGCCAAGCCAUCCACAAUGUUGUUCAUGCUAUUAUUCUGCAUCAACAGCAACAACAACAACAACAACAACAACAACAACCGUUGAGCCAGGUCUCCUUCCAACAGCCUCAACAACAAUAUCCAUCAGGCCAGGGCUCCUUCCAGCCAUCUCAGCAAAACCCACAGGCCCAGGGCUCUGUCCAGCCUCAACAACUGCCCCAGUUUGAGGAAAUAAGGAACCUAGCGCUAGAGACGCUACCUGCAAUGUGCAAUGUCUAUAUCCCUCCAUAUUGCACCAUUGCUCCAGUUGGCAUCUUCGGUACUAACUGA
Molecule: ribosomal RNA, 924 nt
Filed under: Triticum aestivum (bread wheat)
Lineage: Eukaryota; Viridiplantae; Streptophyta; Magnoliopsida; Poales; Poaceae
Description: partial small subunit ribosomal RNA
Source: RNAcentral